AUUGAACGCUGGCGGCAGGCCUAACACAUGCAAGUCGAACGAGUGGCGGACGGGUGAGUAAUGUCUGGGAAACUGCCUGAUGGAGGGGGAUAACUACUGGAAACGGUAGCGAAUACCGCAUACCAUCAGAUGUGCCCAGAUGGGAGUGGCUAGUAGGUGAGGUAAUGGCUCACGGAGGCGACGAUGCCUAGCUGGUCUGCGAGGAUGACCAGCCUCACUGGAACUGAGACACGGUCCAAACUCCUACGGGAGGCAGGAGUGGGGAAUAGGGCACAAUGGGCGCAAGCCUGAUGCAGCCAUGCCGCGUGUAUGAAGAAGGCCUUCGGGUUGUAAAGUUCUUUCAGCGGGGAGGCGUUACCCGCAGAAGAAGCACCGGCUAACUCCGUGCCAGCAGCCGCGGUAAUAC
Molecule: ribosomal RNA, 406 nt
Filed under: uncultured bacterium
Lineage: Bacteria
Description: partial 16S ribosomal RNA
Rfam family: Bacterial small subunit ribosomal RNA
Source: RNAcentral